GGUAAUUUGACUCAAAAAUUGAGAACAUACGGGCAUAAUUUCCUCUCCCCAAUUCAAGAAAUCUUUUAGAAGACCUCAAUUCUCUCUCUUCAUUAUCUUCUCUAUUGAGUAAGUGGGCACAAUCCGAACAACACAGGUUUCUACUUCUUCUUACACUUUCUUAUUUUCCGUUGCUUUAUAUCGUCUUUAGAAUGGGCUUGUGAAUCUACACAUUGAUUACAAAUCUUACCUUUUCAGAUUAGAUGUUGUGAGAUAAAUGGAUAUGUGCUUUUGAAAAGAAGGAUUUACUGUGAGAGAUUGUACAUUUGUAUUAGCUGAAAUUGUAAGUGUUCAGUGCGAUGGUAAAAAAUAAGAAUCUCACUGUUAUUGAAUUUUAACAGCCCACAAUGCAUCUUGCAACUGAAGUUGCUAGAUAAAUGGUACUACUUAGUAAUUAACUGGAUACUACUCUAAACAAUCAAUCAUAGCUCAAGUUUUCUUGAUUGAAAGUCGGAAUCAGUCUUAGUUCUUGCUAUUAGAUCUACUUCCUACUAAUGAAAUAGAAUCAGACCUUUAGGAUUAGUUUGUGCUCUUUAUGAUUGAAUACUAGCGACAACAACUUUGAUUUACGAAAUUGUAUGUGCUACUGUUUUUAGUUUAGGACUUGAUGGUUUGUUAGAAUAUAUUUAGAAAAUUCUAGAGAUAUUGUAUUUUCUUUAGGCAUUAAUUAUCAUUUGAGAAUCUAGGUUGUUCACGAUUUGGUGAAAGAUCAGAUCAAAUCAAAUUAAUUUAAAAAAUAAACAUCAAAUUUGGUUUGAAAUUCUAAAAACUGAAUUUUUGAUUUAGUUUUGAUUUUACUAAAACAUAACAAAAAAAUAAAUUGCUUUUAAUUUUGCUUUUAAUCAAAAAUCGAUUCAAACCAGAUCAUGAACACCCUAUUUGAGAUUAGAAUUUUAGAUAUGUUAAAUAAUGAACUUUUAGCCUACUAAUAUACAAUCUGAGUAGGAUUAAUUCACUUUUAAAAUAAUCCAUUUGAAUUGAUAAAUUAGUGUAGUAAGCCAUUUCUCAGAUAACAAGUAAUCCAUUAUAUACGGUCUAUAACAAUUUUAAUGUUGAGUUAGAUAAAUUAGAGUGAUCGUAGUCAAAGAGGCAAAUAAGUCAAUUAUCUCUCAUAACAAGUAAUCUAGUAUUUCGCAAAGAAUAUCUAAUUUACUUCUUUAAUCUUUGCUUCUUUUGGUGAUAGUCAAAUCCGAACUUAGCCAUUUUCUUGGUUUACAAUUAUUUUAUUUUUUGAUACUUUUUUACAUUCCUCGAGAGUCGAAGAUAAUUUUUCACGUCGUGAUUCCUUUAGUUGUCUAGCUUAAUCGAUCUCAUUCAUAAGCACGAGUCUAGAUAUAGACACAUGUUGCCCCAAGAUCUAAUUGUUAAUAGACAUAGGCUCCCUACAACCAUCGAGCAUGAAUCUAAAUAAACAUAGAGGGCAACAGAGCAAGAUAAACAAACUAAUCGGGGUAGCAAUUGUUUUCCUCCAUCCAUGGAGCAAUCUGUCUAUUCUUAGCUAUCUUAGCAUUUAUCUCCUAGAUGAUUUACCUGAUUACCUGGGCAGUAGUUUGCUUUUGGUUUAGAAAAACUCUAAAAAGCCUUUCUCUCCACACAUAGUAAGUUGUUGGCUUGUUGCAGAAUAAGAUCUUUCAUUGGCAUAUGUAACAACCUAAUAUUGUUCAUCAUUUCAUUCUUUAGGCUCUCUUAUAAUGCCUAACUAUGACAGUUACUUUUUCCAAAUGGUAGCAGUGACGUCACAAGCAAAGAACAAGUGUGCUAUUAUCUCAUGUUCAUGUUUACAGAGAAGACAAGUCUGAUCACCUACAACCCCUAUUUGAACAAUCUAUUUCAAGUUCAUCAACCAACUAAUGCAACAUGUCUUUAGAUAAAAAUCAGCCUAAGUGAUUUUUGAAGUUUAUAUGGGUGAUCGUAACUAGUACUAGUUUGAGAUUCAUUUUUUUACCUGUUGUAUGAUAUGCUUCAUGGACUUGAUGAUAUUGUCUAGUGCUUUAACUUGAAAAAUAUGGAGAACCUAGUUAUUUCCUUAAUAAAAGAAUAUUAACAAAACAACAUUGACCUUCAGAUUCAACUGGUUGUCAAAAUUUUGUGAUCAUUAAAAAUUUUAAUCAAGUUUAGAGUAUUGAACUAUAUUAAAUUUUUUGAAACAUCAACUGACCGAGAAGUUUUGAAAGGUGUCUUCAAGUGUUGGAUUUAUUUUAGUGUUGAUUCCUUUGAACUUGAAACUCUAAUUGAGUAAGCAUCAAUCUCAUUUCUUGCUAGUUUUCUCAAUUCCUUGUGUAGCAAAAUCUAUUAAGAUAUUAUUAAGAAUGGGUUCAUUGAAAAAUUUUAUGCCAUACUGCAUUAUCAUAAUUGUACAUGAAAAUGCAUAUUAUGAUAAUAAUUAUCUGAUUUUAUAUUGCCACUGUAAUUUACCGCUUGUAUUUCCUCCAGCUUACCGAAGAUCUAAGAUUAAGGUAGAUGGUUAGUAGAUAGCCAGCGUGUAGAACCUUUAUGUGGAAGACACGGGGCUAGUCUUAUCUUCCACUUUUCUCCAUACUAGAAGUUGUAAUGCCCCAGAAAUACACCCUAGACGUCGUGCUCAAGACUACAAGUAGUCCCAAGCUAAAUCUUUAAGUCUUAUAACAACUUUGGAACUCAUAAUAAAGAUAAACUGGACUUGCAAAAUCUCGAGAUACUGAAUUAAUGUCUUAACUAAAACUUAAAUAAUAUCUUACUGAAAGUCUUAAACUUGGAAAUCUUGAAAACAAACACUUUUAGGUCUAAACAGAAAACAGUCGGACAAGCCUCUACUUCUAACUAGAGAGCUACUAGGACAAGCCCCGGCUGACUCGAACCAAACAGAAAACCAAAUAAAUAAAAUAAUUCAUUAGUAAUAAUGUCUGAUAAAAUGGGUCCUCAAACUAUGAGGACUCACCAAGCAUCGGGAUGUAGGUGGAGAUGCCUGUAAACAAUCACGCUGCUGAAACUAAGCACUAGGACCUACAUUAUGAAAUAAUGUAGCACAUAGACGUAUAUGUAGACCAGUACUUCUGGAAAGUACUGAGCAUGUGGGGUUGAAUGCACAAGUAAAACAAUAACUCAAUGUGUACUUAGAUUUUCAAAUAAUGCAUUCUAAGUGUAAAUGACUCACCUUGGGCUUUAAUAAAACAAAAAGCUGAAAAAUCAUAAAACAUGAAUAAUAAAGCACACUGAAUAAACUUUGUGAGCCACACACUUAGUUUAUGAAAGCUUUACUUUUAAUCUUUCUUAGGGAGGUUCUUCUAACCGACAUAAACCAUGUGAGCUACUUAGGAGUUCAACGUCUUACCCACGUUGGGGAGAGCUGUCCUACCCUUGCCAUCGGAAUAGGACCUUAAAUUGAGUGAUCACUAUCUGUAACUUCAUCCAUAUUGGGAAUAAGCUUAACCUAUAUUGGCUUGUAGUUCUGGGGCAUGUGACCUUGGACGCAUACCCAACUCCGUGCUAAAUACUACUCCCUUAUUACUUAAUACUUAUACUUUAGGACAUCUACCUUAAAAUAGCAUAAAAGGGCUUAUAAUGAAAACUAAUUAUGCUUCUCUUUCCUUUAAACUGUAAUCAAAAUGAAAAAAGUGGAUUUCAUAUCUUAGCUGAGGAUCAAAAGAUCAAUUCUUGCUUUAAAUCUUGAUAUAAGCUUGUCAUAGAAUGCUUAAAAGCAUAAUCUUCUUGAAAUCUCAACACUUAAACUUAGGGCUUAAAAUUCAUGCUUUAAACUCAUGGUAAUUCAUAGAAAAACUUCAUGCUUUAAACUCAUGGUAAUUCAUACCAAAACUUCAUGCUUAAUAUAAUUCUUGAAAUACUUCAACAAUAACAAGUCAAGAUAGUUCAAUCUCAUUCAUAAUAUAAAUCUUGGACAUACUUUAAGCUUUAAAUCUCAUGAUAAUCACAUGCUUCAAGAAUAUAUAAACUUGGGUAUAAACCCAACUUCAAAAUAAGUAAAUAGAAUCUUAAAAUUAUGCAAUUUGGGCACAAGGGUGAAAGGAUACCCUUAUUCAUAACCUUACAUACCUUAAUGGACUUGAUUUAAUGGAUGAAAGCUUGACUUUGUAAGUCUUGGAGGUGAUCUUGAAAGCUUUUUUGAACUUCUUGAAUUAGAAACUUAAAUUCUUGUUUAUUUUAAAGAGAAAGUAAAGGACUUUUGGUGUUCUUGACAGGAGGGGUUAGGGUUUCUUGGAGAGAAAAUUGAUAGAGAAUGGGCAAAUAAUGCCUUAAUCAACGUUUAAUCUAUUGUUUUUAUGAAUUGAGUCGGUGGGAAUUGACCUAACUGCCCCUCAGAAGAUUAAACUCGUAACUAGAAUGCCAUUUAGAGGCCUAGCACGACGCGAUGACAUGCUAAUCGCUAUAUUGCGCGCGACGCAAUGCAAUAGCGAUGAGCUGCUUGAAUCGAAAUCCAAACAGACCCAAUCCUUUUCCAAAAAAUUUAAAACUUUCCCUAGACAUGCUCCUUACACCCCUGAACAUGAAUCAACUCAAAAACCAUUGUCUCAGAGUCUGGAAGGUUGACUUAAAAAUCCUCGAAGUUAGAGGGUCUUAAAAAUGGUUAAGUCCUCAACACUUAGCUAAAUUUUCAGACUUUAAGCUUCUUGUGCAAGAACUAGGAGCUAAACUAAGCUAAGCUUAAUAUAGGGUAUUAUAGUAGUGUUCCUCUUUAGUAUUUGCAUCGUAUUUUCUACUUUAUUCAUAGUUACAUGCCUUUUUGGUUGUGUCCAUCUUGCCACUUUACUGUUGUUUUUUUAUCUUUUAUUUUUCCUUUCUAGUUUGUCUUGAUUUUUUAUUUUAGUGCUUUGUAUCUUGCUUGGGCACUAUCUUUUUUUCUUGCAAAUAUGCUUCAUUUUCUUUCUUUUGAGCUGAGGGUCUAUCGAAAACAACCUCUCUACUUUCAUGAAGGUAGAGAUAAAGUAUGCGUACAUCCUAUUCUCCUUCUAACCGACUUGUGAAAUUAUGUUGGGUAAGCUAUUGUUGGUUUGUUAUGAUAUUCUGACUGAAACAUUUUUGAGGCUCAACAUUUGACUUGCAAUGCUCCAGUGCAUUUCUCUGCAUCUAGCUCUAGUUUUUGGUACCAAUAUCUUCUGAUGUUUCACUAGCUAUGUGAUUAACUUUAAUUACUUUUAGGAGAUUAAAAUUUUGAGAGUAAGCAAAAAACUGGAGAUGGAUACACCAUGAAAUUAACUAUCCUGUGAUUUAGUGUAUUUAGUUAACCAUAGAAAAUUAUAGAUAAAUUUAUCCUAAGUAAAUGACGAGCAAAAUUUAGUACUAUAUUUAAAUGAUGGUAUUUUCUAUUCAUAUUAUAUGUUAAGUGCGGAUUUUGUGACACAUAUUAAUUAUUUUUAUCCUCUCCAGUGAGCUGAAUUAAAGGGUUAUGGUAGAUGAACAACUAAACUGUCUUACUAGCAGAAAAAAAUCAGUAAAAUCGUAGUCUUAAUACAUCAAGAAACAUACUAAAAAAGUUGCAACUUUUUAACUGGAAUAUUAAAUAAAUUUGUCUUUUUAAUGUAACCUUACAGUACACUUCCUAAUCAAGCCAUAAUAGAUACUUGUAAGUUUUACAAGUUUUAUUUUUAAAAGUUAUCUCACUUGUAGUUAAUUUGCUAUUGUAUUUGAAUAUAUUUUAAAUCAAAUCAUCUUUUUAUUUUCUCUCCUCCACAGGUAUACAGAGUCCGAAUUGAAUCAGGACUAAUUUGGAAGUCAAGUUUCACGGCGUUAUUUGUAUUCUGAGAAAGAGCCUUUACUUAUCUUAGUUUAGGAGUAAUAUUUGUAUAUGUUAGUUAAGCUUUCUUAUUGGCAUAUUUUACUUUUAUUUAAGGAGCUCGUAAU
This 5874-nucleotide long non-coding RNA is filed under the name Capsicum annuum. RNAcentral describes it as "long non-coding RNA (CANN_LNC005406)". Lineage: Eukaryota; Viridiplantae; Streptophyta; Magnoliopsida; Solanales; Solanaceae. The record is from RNAcentral.